This 720-nucleotide ribosomal RNA is filed under the name uncultured anaerobic ammonium-oxidizing bacterium. Its description in RNAcentral is "bacterial SSU rRNA". It matches the Rfam family "Bacterial small subunit ribosomal RNA", at positions 565 to 1274 of the family's 1533-position model. The record is from RNAcentral.
GAGCACGUAGGUGGGUUUGUAAGUCAGAUGUGAAAGCCUCCUGUUCAACGGGAGAAUUGCAUCUGAAACUACUGAUCUUGAGUAUAGGAGGGGAGAAUGGAACUUCUGGUGGAGCGGUGAAAUGCGUAGAUAUCAGAAGGAACGCCGGCGGCGAAAGCGAUUCUCUGGCCUAUUACUGACACUCAGUGUGCGAAAGCUAGGGGAGCAAACGGGAUUAGAUACCCCGGUAGUCCUAGCCGUAAACGAUGGGCACUAAGUAGAGGGAAUUACCGAUAUUCUCUCUGCCGUAGCUAACGCAUUAAGUGCCCCGCCUGGGGAGUACGGCCGCAAGGCUAAAACUCAAAAGAAUUGACGGGGGCUCGCACAAGCGGUGGAGCAUGUGGCUUAAUUCGAUGCAACGCGAAAAACCUUACCGGGGCUUGACAUGGUAGAAGUAGGAACCCGAAAGGGUAACGAACGGUAUCCAGUCCGUAACUAUUACAGGUGUUGCAUGGCUGUCGUCAGCUCGUGUCGUGAGACGUUGGGUUAAGUCCCCUAACGAGCGAAACCCUUGUUUUUAGUUGCCAGCGGGUUAUGCCGGGCACUCUAGAAAGACUGCCGUCGUCAAGACGGAGGAAGGUGGGGAUGACGUCAAGUCAUCAUGGCCCUUAUGCCCCGGGCUGCACACGUGCUACAAUGGUCGGUACAAACGGAAGCGAAGCCGAGAGGUGAAGCGAAUCC